AUUGAACGCUGGCGGAAUGCUUUACACAUGCAAGUCGAACGGCAGCACGGGGCAACCUGGUGGCGAGUGGCGAACGGGUGAGUAAUACAUCGGAACGUGCCCAAUCGUGGGGAUAACGUAGCGAAGUUACGCUAAUACCGCAUACGAUCUACGGAUGAAAGCGGGGGAUCGCAAGACCUCGCGCGAAUGGAGCGGCCGAUGUCAGAUUAGGUAGUUGGUGGGGUAAAGGCUCACCAAGCCAACGAUCUGUAGCUGGUCUGAGAGGACGACCAGCCACACUGGAACUGAGACACGGUCCAGACUCCUACGGGAGGCAGCAGUGGGGAAUUUUGGACAAUGGGCGCAAGCCUGAUCCAGCCAUUCCGCGUGCAGGAUGAAGGCCUUC
Molecule: ribosomal RNA, 385 nt
Filed under: uncultured bacterium
Lineage: Bacteria
Description: bacterial SSU rRNA
Rfam family: Bacterial small subunit ribosomal RNA
Source: RNAcentral